AAAUAAAAGUUUUGCAAAUUAUAUCAUUCUCUAAUACAUUUAUAUUUUAUAUAUGGUAACAUUAUACAUACCACAUAACAUUUUUGGUUUUAUAUAAUCUUUUCUAAAUUAGGAUGAUUUGAUAUGUUUAAUAUUAGUGGUCUUAAAAAUAAUAAAUUAAAGAUUUAACCGUAUUGAAACGGUGUAUUAAUUAUAUUUUACUUUUUUAUUAAUGUUGAUUCAAAAACCCGUCACUCCAAAUCCGUCUUGCCAAAAAGCUAUUUAUUUUAUUAAUAUUAAUUUUAUUAAUAUAUGACUCUGAAUUAUAAUCUAAACAUUUUAGCUAAUAACAUAGGAGUAUACCAUUUUUAUUUAAUAGGGGAAUGUACCAUAUGACCCGAAUGCACUUUUACCCAAUUCCACCAAAAAAGUCUUGCAAAAAUACUAUAGAGAUAAAAAAUGAUAGUCGGUUUUGAUAGGUAUAAGAUUAGCAAAUAUAUUAGUUAGCUUAAAUUAGUUAAAGAAUACAAAUUGAAAAGGUAUAUUACACUUUAUUCGAAUAUAGUAUCAAAACUUAUAUAACACAGAGAUUUGAUAAAUUUUUAAUUGUUGAAUACUUUUUUUGUGCUAAUUUUUAUGUGAUUAAGAUUUAAUUUAAGAUUUAAUUGAUUUUGUAUAUAAAAUAUUAAAAGUAAAUUGUGAGUUGUAUAUGUUUUGUUGAUAUUAUCUAUAUUGUUUAGUGUUUAAGAUUAUACACUUGUAGUUUGAUUGUUAAUUUAAGAGUUUUACCUGUAGUAUACCAUCUUGUAUUAAUAUCGAUCUAAACCCGUCAAUUCUAGGAUUUUCUAGCUUGUAUUAACAAUUGAAUUACAUCAUACACAUAAAAAAAUCUAAUAUGUUAUUAAUUAUUGUAGUAUAUAAGAUUAUAAAUUUUCAAUAUAAUAUGUAUGAAAUUGAAUAUAAAUAUUUUAAAUUAUAACUCGUUACUCAGUAGAAAAUUUUCUUAAAUCUAUUUUUCAUCCGUUAUAAUACUUUUUUAUGUAUUGAACAGUUUAUAUUCGUUUUCAAAAAUUCAAAUUAUAGCAUAUGCGAAAAAACUCUAAUUAUUUUUUUAUAAUGAUGAUAUUAUUUUUCGCAAAAAUAGAAUCAUAUAAAGAUGAGAAGUGAACUAUAAUAAUUAAUAAAAAAUUAAUAUGAUAAUUUAGAUAUCAAAUCUAAUUUGUUGAUUUUAAUAGGUUACUUUUUUGGAAAUUAAUAAUGUAUUUCGUUUUUCUAAUUAAAUUAAAU
Molecule: small RNA, 1266 nt
Filed under: Arabidopsis thaliana (thale cress)
Lineage: Eukaryota; Viridiplantae; Streptophyta; Magnoliopsida; Brassicales; Brassicaceae
Description: ATSL027280
Source: RNAcentral